This 475-nucleotide long non-coding RNA is filed under the name Mytilus galloprovincialis (Mediterranean mussel). Lineage: Eukaryota; Metazoa; Mollusca; Bivalvia; Mytilida; Mytilidae. The record is from RNAcentral.
GGCCCCUAAUUCCUAAACUGUUGGGACCUAAACUCCCAAAAUCAAUACCAACCUUCCUUUUGUAGUCAUUAACAUUGUGUUUAAAUUUCAUUGAUUUCUAUUUACUUCAACUAAAGUUAUUGUGCGAAAACCAAGAAUAAUGCUUAUUUGGGCCCUUUUUUGGCCCCUAAUUCCUAAACUGUUGAAACCAAAACUUCCAAAAUCAAUCCCAGCCGUUCUUUUGUGGUCAUAAACCUUGUGUCAAAAUUUCAUAGAUUUCUAUUAACUUAAACUAAAGUUAUAGUGGGAAAACCAAGAAAAUGCUUAUUUGGGCCCUUUUUGGCCCCUAAUUCCUAAAAUGUUGGGACCAAAACUCCCAAAAUCAAUACCAACCUUCCUUUUGUGGUCAUAAACCUUGUGUUAAAAUUUCAUAGAUUUCCAUUCACUUUUACUAAAGUCAGAGUGCGAAAACUAAAAGUAUUCGGACGACGACGAC